GCAGUGGUGGUUCAAUGGUAGAAUUCUUGCCCUCCAUUCAGGAUACCUAGGUUCCAAUCUAUGCCAGUGCA
Molecule: transfer RNA, 71 nt
Filed under: Loxodonta africana (African savanna elephant)
Lineage: Eukaryota; Metazoa; Chordata; Mammalia; Proboscidea; Elephantidae
Rfam family: tRNA
About the family: Transfer RNA (tRNA) molecules are approximately 80 nucleotides in length. Their secondary structure includes four short double-helical elements and three loops (D, anti-codon, and T loops).
Source: Rfam by way of RNAcentral